AAUAACCAAAUAUAACACCGGGGUUAAGGGUCAAAUUGGUAAUUUUUCUUACAUCUCCCCCGCCUGGGGCCCAAGUAUCAUAUAAGCCGCCAAAAUAGAGAGCCUUGAGUACUAGAAGAAAAGCACCUAUACCUAACAAAAUUAAGUGAAUACCCAAAAUUGUAGUCAUUUUAUUUUUAUCUUUCCA
This 187-nucleotide antisense RNA is filed under the name Ecdeiocolea monostachya. Its description in RNAcentral is "Antisense RNA which regulates isiA expression". It matches the Rfam family "Antisense RNA which regulates isiA expression". Lineage: Eukaryota; Viridiplantae; Streptophyta; Magnoliopsida; Poales; Ecdeiocoleaceae. The record is from Rfam by way of RNAcentral.